Numida meleagris (helmeted guineafowl) is the source of this 9004-nucleotide long non-coding RNA. RefSeq lists it as uncharacterized. The transcript has 3 exons. The record is from RefSeq and is a predicted model, not a curated record. Lineage: Eukaryota; Metazoa; Chordata; Aves; Galliformes; Numididae.
CAUUCACUGGCACUUGCUGAAUGUUUCUGGAGACCAAAACGUGGCUGUGAGCACAGCGAGGCAGUGGGUGGUGCGUUUCAGCUGUGGUGACAAUGACGUGAAAGAUAAGCCAUGUUCCAGACGGUCAUGCAGAUUUUUAUGAGCGUUGCAUGCGAGCUCUUGCUCAUCACUGGUAGCUACUGAUGGUGACUAUGUUGAAAAACAGCAUUUUGUAGCUGAGAAUUUGCUCUAUCAAAUAGUUUAAUUAUGCUCUUUGUAUCUGUUGUAGUUUCCAUGGAAAUAAAUAGGAGGUAUUACUAUAUGUUUAACUCUGAAUUUUGUUGGCUUUGCAUAGCCUCCACAGGGUCACUAUAAACUACAAACCUUUGCAUAACAGGGACAUAUAACAGCAUCCAUGCAGCAGCUGCAGUAGAGACUGUUCAGUAGUUCCAGUAGCAACACUAGGCAUCUGUGGACAUCAGGAGAGAUAAGAACCUCUCCCCUUGUCCUAAAUGCUCAUGCAAUUGGUUUGUGUGGUGCCUGGCAGAGGAGGCUUUCCAGUUCCCAUCUUUAGCUGGGGAGCCUGUCCACUUUGGGGGAGCUACGAGCACGUGCUUGGGGCAGCAAGCUUACUGCUCCCAUCUACGGAGAGCAGGCCCCUAGCUGCAUCACAGCUCAGCCUGAGCAGCUGUGUCUGGCACAGGAGAUCAGGGAGCAGGACAGAUUCUUGGGGGCUAUGAGAGACUGAGAUACACAUCUAAGGAUAUGAGUGCACAGGGUGACAGACUGCUUCUACCUGGGAGUCUCACCCCGAGUGAGGAGACUCGGCACAUUUGGGUUGUUUAUUCAGCUACAUUAAGCAGUUUGAGAUUGUGAGCUAUGUGUUGUUGUAAAAUAACAAAUAGUGAGAAAACUAAGGUCAUAAUCUAAUGCAGUUUUUUCUCUAGCUCUGUUCUCUAUGCUGCUGUAGAAAACAAUUUAAGGCCCUACCUUUGCUGAGAGUGCUUCUGCCUUUCACCAUGCAGCAGGAUAAUGGUAGAAAAAUUUCUGACCAUUUCACCACAGCCCACGGGGUUUGAAAAUGCAGCACUGGGUCAUCUUCUUCCUUAUUUCUUACUAUGCAAGGGAAUGCUCUGAGAAACUGACAGACUCAGAAUUAAACCUCGGCAGCAGUUUAGGCUUGUCACAUGUUAGAAAAUUCUUCUUCAUAACCUUAAUUACCAGAAACAUUAUAUACAUCUUUUUUUCCAAGUUUGGAGCCUAGUGCUUUCUUGAAAAAUAAGAUUUCAAGCCUUUUUAGCAGACAUGUUCUCUGCACACAUUCAAAAACACAAUUAGUUGAACAAUAACAACAUUUCAAAUAAUUUUUCAUCUUUGACAGCCUUGGACAGUCAGCCUAGUUAAAACAAAUGUCUUGGGAUAGUUUGAUUAAAAACAUGAAGCUUCAUUCCACUUUUCAGACCAAGCUCUGUCCUCAGCUGAGUCUCUACUUCAAAUAUUUCAAUAACAGUGAGGAUGAACUUGAUUUUUGAAGGAAAACAGAAAUUCAGGGACCCAAAUAUAUCAUUAUGAUGACAAAACAUGAAAGAACUUAAACUCUUGGAGCCCACACUGUGUUUGAAGAGCUGCUAGUAUAAAAUUAUUUGUGUAAUCAUUUUUACCAAUAGGCUAUAGAAGUUGAAAAUGGAAAACAUGAGCAAAAAACAUGAAACUCCCCAAAAAUUAGAGGAAGUUUAUGAAAAGUCCUGAAGUUUCACAUUCGCAGACUUGCAUCCUGGGUCUUGAGGAUUACUGAGUAUGUUCAAUUUAAUUAAUUUUCAGUGCCUCUGUUUACUUAAUUGGCAAUAUCCUGCCAUUUUAAGUCAGAAUCUCAAAAAUAUCCUUCUAUCAGCAGUUUCAUCUGAUCAAUUUCUACAGCUGUUACACAGAAAGUCAUUGUACUUCCAAAAUUAAAGUCAAAGAUUACCAUUUCUAAAUCCUUAGGUUCACAUUUUGAAGAACAUUGGUUGAAAUGUCUUCCAUUUGGAAAGGCAGAAAUCCAAACUGCUUCUGAACCUGUAUGGCCUCAUGUCAUCCAUGGCAGUACAGACACAGUGAGGAACAGAAUCGGUGAUGGCCAGAUCGUGUCCUGAGUUUGCACUCACAUUAAAAUGAUAAAAAGACUCAGUAUCCUCUAAUAUCCUGUAAUAAAAAGAGCUACCGUGGGCUAUCUCUGACUCACAGUCAUCUUUGCUUCCUUCCAAAAUACAUAUUACACAAAAAGAUUUCCUAGCACAGAAAAUUGCUGUGUGAAGCACUCAGUACACAGAAAGUAUCAGUGUUAGUGUCUUUUGCUCCCCAGAUUAACACAGAUACUGCCCUCACACAUCUCCUCUUCUCUUCCAUGUCCCUAAGCAUCACAUCCACAAAUUUUUUAAAUACCUCCAGGGCAGAGACUCCACCACCUACCUGGGCAGCCCAUUCCAAUGCCUAACCACUCCUUGAGUGAAAAAAUUUUUCCUAAUGUCUAAACUUCCCCUGACACAACUUGAAGCCACUGUCUUGUGUCCUAUCGUUUGUCAUCUGAGAAAAGAGACAAGCACCUUCUUCAAUGCAACCUCCUUUGCAGAGAGUUGUAGAGCUGUAGAGAGUGAUGAGGUCUCCCCUCAGCCUCCUUUUCUCCAGAACAAACAGCUCCAGCUCCCCCAGCUGCUCCUCAUAACUCUUAUUUUCUGGUGCCUCCACCAGCUCUGUUGAUCUUUUCUGAGCAUGCUCAAGGCAACUCAAUAUCCUCGUAGUGAGGGGCCCAAAGCUAAACAUAAUAUUUGAUGUGUGAUCUCAUCAGUGCCAAGUGCAGAUGGACAACCACUGCCCUAGUGCUGCUGGCCACGCUGCUUUAGUGUGCAUCUCUCCUAGGAGAUCAUACUCACGUGACAGGUCUGCUUCGAGUGGCCUAGCUAGCUUAUUCAGGUGGUGACAUGAAGGCCUAGCUUGAAGGGACAUGGCUUUCUAGGAAGGAAAUCCAACCCAUCUUUGCCAGUACAUCAAAAUGAUGCAGGUUGUCACUGUGCUCCAGGAUCUGCUUCUGCCAGGAAAGUGAUCUGUUCCUUACCAUCUCGGAUAGGCAAACCCACUUUCUCUAGCAGAUGACACAUCUCUUUGCAGGCAACUUUGAUACACUGACAUUUUCCAAAAACUUUUCCAGGAGGCAGUAUCCUAGCAUGGAAAGUAUUGAAUUAAGUUGGUGAUGUUUGCCAUAAGCAAAACAGUAUGACAUACGGCAAAUUUUGACUGAGUGUGACUACUGAUCCCUUCACCUGACACAUUUAAAUCAACAUCCAUCGCAUGGGUGUCCUACCUUUUGGCUUGCUUGGGCCACACUGAGUGAAUAGGAAUUGUUUUGGGCUGCCUAUACAUAAGUUGUUCUGAAAGUAAUGCCUCCUAUUUAUUUCCAUGGAAACUACAACAGAUAGAAAGAACACUGUAAUAUUAUUUAAUAGAGCAAAUUCUCGCUAUUUUUCAGCAUAGUCAUGACCAUUAGCUGUGCAUUUUUGCCAGCAAUGAACAAGAACCUGCAUGCAGCACAGACUGCAGCAAGCUCUCAAGGUGCUUGUCAGAGAGUUUUAACGUAAUGUUACCCUUCCUGCACUUUAUCCUUGACAAUAAUUGUUCAAAAUGUGCAUAAUGCCAAAAACCAGUGACAUUAUUAAUAAGAUGUGACCGUGAAGUGAUGACUUUAAUUUUGGAGGAGAUAUCAAGAAUAUAAAUUAGAUCACAGGCUACCCAACAGAUGCAGUGUCUGGAAUGUGUAUAUGUUUAUAAUCGUAUUACUAGAAGAUUACUUCAUCGAUUUUUAUUCUUACCUGAUUUCCUCAAAACUAGGAAACAACCUAAGUAUGUAGGCUUUUCAGUGCACAAAGGGGCUUUACAAAAAUUCUCCUUUUGUCAAAUUCUAUUUACUGGCUCAUUAAAAAAGCACUACCUUCCCCCAUAAAGGCUGCCUCUUUUAUGAUAAGAAAUCUGAAGAAUAGAUUUGUGGACCUUGAAACACUGAAGUCCUCAACAAAUGUCCUGCUGUGUGUAUGGAAUGAAUUUUAGCUCUUUUCCCUCGCUUUUUAUUUCUGACUUAAAAGAGCAGCCCUAAUAAGGGAAUACCACAGACAUUCCAUGAACAAAAUUUCCUUGUUUGGUAGAAGCAGUGUUAUUUCAAAGUAAAAACAUUUACUGAAAUGCCUGCAUAUAGUUCAGUCUUUUUUUUUUUUUUCCUCUGGCUUAGUUUAGCCCUUUACAACUCUUUUCUUGUAUCAGCAGCAGGAAUCUGGUGAUGGACCGAACAAAGGAAAAGCUUCUGCAGCCUGCUCUGUGUGCACCAUACUUCCCUUCCAGAGGACAAAGCAGACCCUAGGUAUAUAACCAUAUACAUAAACAUAACCUGGAAUGCUAAACUGUAAUACAGGGCAGCACACAGGAGUACAAAACCUUCUUGUACAACCGGGUAUGGCAAUUAUGACCUUAGCAGCACAGCAGGAGUGGUGGGCAUGACAAGGAAUAGAGAGCAAGAGAAUGACAUGCAGCAAUACCUAUCUGGGAAGAAAACCUUAUGCAGAACCAUAAUGAUUUGUAAAGCUGCCUGGUAAUGACAAAACAGCACAGAGCAAUCGGCAUCACACAGAAAUAUACUGAAUAACAGGCGUGCCAUCUUGAGAAGAUGUGAAGAAAGAUAAAAGCCUAAGUUACCUCCACCUAUUUUCUUCCAUUCCACAGGGUAAAAGGGAAAUUUAUUUUGGCACACUUCUGGCUGGGCAACAACUGCAGGUGUCUGUAAGGUUAGGCCAUUUUCUAGGGGAAAAAGAAUAUAUAAACAAGCCUAUUUGUACUAACAGCAAGAAAGGCAAUCAGCUAGCACUCUAUUAUGAGGGACUAACUAGGAGAGUAUUUGGUAAUACUAGAGGAGACUGCAAUGAAGGAAACUCAAUAUCAGCACUGGAAGUGUGAACACUUUACACCUCUGUGGCAAAGCAUGCAAAGAGAUGUUUUGGUUGACUAUUUAUGCAGGAACCUGGCUAAAAACAGCAGUGAACCCAGUAUUUCCACUCAUGAGAAGAAAUACGAUAUAGUUGGCGUUACUGAAACUCACUGGGAUGACUUGCAAAAAGUUAAACUCAUGCAGUGGGCAGCAGAGAAUGCACGAAGAAGGUAGAGUGGCCGGCCACCCUCUUCAAGGGACAGCAUUACCAGAUCUAGAGGUAAGUCCAAACAACAGGAGAGGGGAUGCAAACGUAUUUCUGUGUGGCUGGCGAAGGCCAAAAGGGUGUAUGAUUACACUUUUUUGAUCCAUUGAAAAGCACGGAUGUGAAGAAAAAUAGAUUUGUUCCUUGAGAUGAGUGGUAGAAGUUUCAUGAGGCCACUACUGAAAUGUCUUUGAUAAUUAAUGAUGAUGACUUUCUAAGAACAAAGGAUAAAAUAACUAAAUUCUAUAGGGAAAGAAAAAUAAUGUCUGCAUUGAAGGUGGUGGCUAUUCUACGGUCUGAUUACACUUAUUAGCCAGGAGACUCCCAUUUAGAAAUAUAUAGUUCAACUUAAUCUCAUCCAUCCACGUGGUGUUUCAAAGAAAACAUAAUAAAAAAGGCUUAUGAACCAGUACAAAAUACUUUCCCUGAUUUUUUUAAGAAGAUCUUGAUUUGUAGAAAACCAAGUAUAAGCACACCAAAUGGGUCGCCUGCAACCAAAGGGGGAUGGGGAUGCAGCUGUCUCGGAAAGAGCGAGCCUCCAAGUGCCUUUCAGUCUGACUUGAGUGCACUUCAAAAUGCAGAUUUAUUUUUUCUAUGCUCCCAGAGUAAAAGAUUCUGCUCGUAGCUCAGAGGGACAAGACUUUCCCCUUGGCACUGUUGAAGGUGACAUCUCCGCUAGUCCCUCUCUGUCUUUCUCACUUUUUAUCCAAUUCUGGUUCUAAGAGAAAUGCAGCAUUACGAUCUAUACGGAAUUUGAUCGUGAUGCCAUCCUCUCAUCCCCUUGUUUUCUGUUUUCCCCACUUGGUUCUUGAAGCGGGGCUGCAAAAUGGAAACGCAGCAGACAGGCUUCCUCCUGCCACCUGAGGGCUUCGGCUGCUCUUCCCACACAGCCCCUCUACAACCUACGUUUCGAACCAAAAUCCUUUAUAAGUCAUUUAUGCCAGGAGCAAUUCCUGUACACACUCAUCGUUUCGUGCUUGCGGCUGCUUUCCCUACAGACCGCAGCUGCAGGUGGCGGACUUGACAUUUAGAACUCUUCUCACUUUCUUCCUCCUUUUCUCUGCCUUCCCACACGAAAGUGAAGCUGUGAGCUUACCUAAACCAGAUGUGAUAACGUUCCGGUUUUUAUGGGAUGUUUGCUUUAGCACCAUAGGGCCAUUUGGAUUUAAUUAAAUUCCCACCACGCUGCGGUUAUCAAGCGCGCGUCGAGAGAGCCGAGGAGCUGGCUAACCAAGGCCAGCAGGCAAAGAGGACGGGAGGGAUGUGGGAUUCCCCCGGCAGACGCGGCCUGCCUCCGGCUCUUCCCGAAGCCGCAGGGAGCGCACCUUCUCGAGCCUGCCACGAAGAGAGAGGCUGCUGCCUAGUGGCGGCCGAGGGAACGGGGAGGGCUGGCGGAGCUCGGUCCGGUUUAGGUACGACGCCUCCGACCAAAUCAAAAACGUAGCGGCUACGUGACACGGCGCUGAACAGCGGGACGCCCUCAUUAUGCCGGCUUAAGCCUGCUCCUAAAUUUGUGAGAAGGUAACUUUAUCCUGACAAACUGCGUGCUGGACGGAGUACCGCGUGUCUGCCCCGCUCCGUGUCAGAUGGGGUAACGCUCGCUGCCCUGCAGCCGGCACGAGGAGCAUCAGCGCUUCGCUAACACUGUGUCGUGUGCAGCAGCUCAUUCAUCCGAAAUGCGAUACUUGCUCCUGGACCAUCAGGACCUGAUAGCACAGUAACGAGCAGACUGAAAGAAGAUCCGAUUACUGUGUAAAUGAUACCGCGGUCAGAAAAUACUGUAGGAUACUACGGGGCGCUUUAAAUUACCGCAGAGCAACAAACAGUAAGCGUCACUGGGAGGAAAUCAAGGGGAGACAAAUUCAAGCACAGUGCUUUAAUCACGGCAAGUGACAGCGGAAGAUUUCACAAGACUGAACUACCGGAGGAAACAGUAGAUUCUCUGUAGAAUAACUGAUGGAUUUUCCGUCUCGGAAAGCUGUCAGACCGAGACUGGGAGGUACUCUGAAUAUCUGCUUCAGACAAAGGCGAGCUUCUGAGGCAGCAAAGCUGGGCUGACGGACAGGAAGGCAGAACAGCCAGCACAGCGGCCCUUAAGAAUCUCUGCUUCUGUCAUAGCCUGUAAUAUUCUAUAAUAUUCCUUCUGAGCACAGCUCUGUUUGAAACUCCCCUUCCAAAAGUUUAUUAGGUGUAGGAGAUCUGACAAAAUUAGGAACAAGAGCUUCCCUGCAGAGACUAAGAUGUUGCCAAAAUAUGCAAUGAUACAUGAGGAAACUUUUCCCUGUACAAAAGGGGGUAUUUUCAUACAAGCAUAAAGUAAUGCUGAAACAGACGUCAGGUGAUUGGUAGGAAAAGUAGGAAUAGAUCAGUGGGACAUAUUUGUAACUAAGAGCAGAACAUCUGUAUUCAUGUCACGGUUUUAAAGUCAGAACUGCAGUAGGCUACCUCCACUGAGAUACUGUAACUUUGUUAUUGAACAAUUAUAUAUUCUAUUUUAAUCGUGAAAGUAUUUAAAGCUGUUGUUCGUUUAUUUCUAGUAAAGAUAAUUAGUUGAAAAAAUAUGAAGAUAAGCUAUGGCUGUUAUAUCACAGUGCUGAACCUCUUCUCAAAUACACCUGUGAAAUGCCCUAAGCCAGAAAAACUCCUCAUUUUCUCCUUUUCUUGCACUUCUGCAUAACAAAGGAGCACUAAUACACACCACAAUACUUCAAAUAUUAAUUGGUUUGAAAGAAUCUCGGAAUGCUUUGCGUGAGAGGAAGCUGCACGCUGUAAGAAUAACACCAGAGCAACGUGCAAUAUCAGAAACAAAAUAGGUUGCUUUAUAGACUUGGCUAAAUGAGAGCUUUCGCUUUUACAAGGGAAUAAGCAUCCUUUGGCCACAGGUGAGAAGAGCCCCUGAAUUAUUUGAGAAAGAAAACAUAGGGAAACACGGGGCUUCUGCCCAAGCCUGGCAGCAACAACGGCAAGAAGAGCCCGGCUCAGGGAUGGGCGCGUACCGCUAGGGCAGCACGUCUUUCACGCGUCCGGUGGUGCUCAUUCAUCUUUGUUUCUGAAACAACCAGAAACCCACGAGAACAGUGGAGUGCAUUAAACUAAACGUGCAACAUAUCUAUUUCUGGGAGCGCAGUCUGCGUGGCAUGGGUAGCAUCUUCCAGCUGAUUUAGCACAGCAACGAAAAGACAGCGGCGGUGAUACAUCUGCCAAAUAUUUUAGCGCUUGAAACCAUCUUUUUUCCUGGUUUAAAUGUAUUCCCUACAGCCAAUACUGAUUUAUUUCUGUCCCUGACUGCCGUAGAGACACCGCAGCCGGACUUCCAGCACUGCGAUUACAGGUGCUUAUAAAGAUGUUGGUUUCACCAGUCCAAAGGAGCACCAGGCGGUGAAGAAUCUGCCCUGAAGAUCUUAAGCCAGCACAAUCAAGUUACAAAAGGAGAUGCCAAACAUGUCUAAAAGGCUGAAAGACAAGAAACACUCAAGAGGACAAGAACCAGACCUGAAGGAAGAUCGAAAAGCUGUCUAGGGAAUAUCUAUGCUAGGACUGUACAGGGAAAGGAAUAUGAAAGGAAGAUGGAAAUGUGGUCACAGCAGCCUUUUGCCCAUUCCUCGCUAGCUGCUGCACCUGUGCAGGGAAUCUCACACAGAGCCAUAUGGAGAGGCAUCUGUAUCACUGGUCCUGGCUCCAUGACAAGGGGACAGCAGCGUCCCCCGACACACACCUACCGCUCUCUAUCACACGCAUAAGCUGUGCAACUGUUUGCUUGGCUCAGAGUUGACAUUGUCUUGCCAUUUAUGAAAUCAAUAAAAGCUUUUUGUUUG